This 409-nucleotide long non-coding RNA is filed under the name Mytilus galloprovincialis (Mediterranean mussel). Lineage: Eukaryota; Metazoa; Mollusca; Bivalvia; Mytilida; Mytilidae. The record is from RNAcentral.
UUUGCUUACAAUUUACAAACGAAAUAGCCGAAAUGACGCCCCCACUUUAAGCCAGUUUAAUUCUUCCGUUUUGAAAAAGUACUAACGUGCUUAUGUAUAUUUUUAAUGAAAUGGUAAAAUUAGUAUACGUUAAUGAAAUAGCAAUAACCAAAUAACGCUUGAUAUGGACACGUUUUGGGGAUUGGACACGUUUGGGGGUUAGUUGAGAAAUGGACACGUUUGGGCGUUUAUACAAAUGACACGCUUUGGCGCAGUUUUCAACUAGACAUGUUUGGGGGAAUCGGACACGUUUGGGGGGAAGGACACGUUUCUGAGUGUUACAUAUAUUUUCCUACUGAGAGCAAAAAGGGAAAUGAGAUGUGCCAAUGCUAAAACAAACCCAUGCCAUAAAUCAUUCACUAACUUUUAG